GGUUCAGGACGAACGCUGGCGGCGUGCCUAACACAUGCAAGUCGAACGGACGAGGGGAGCUUGCUCCCCGAGUUAGUGGCGGACGGGUGAGUAACACGUGAGCAACCUGCCCUCGGAGGGGGACAACAGUUGGAAACGACUGCUAAUACCGCAUGACGUAUUCUGGAGGCAUCUCCGGGAUACCAAAGAUUCUAUCGCCGAAGGAUGGGCUCGCGUCUGAUUAGAUAGUUGGUGAGGUAACGGCCCACCAAGUCGACGAUCAGUAGCCGGACUGAGAGGUUGAACGGCCACAUUGGGACUGAGAUACGGCCCAGACUCCUACGGGAGGCAGCAGUGGGGAAUAUUGGGCAAUGGGGGGCAACCCUGACCCAGCAACGCCGCGUGAAGGAAGAAGGCUUUCGGGUUGUAAACUUCUUUGACGAGGGACGAUAGUGACGGUACCUCGAAAACAAGCCACGGCUAACUACGUGCCAGCCGCCGC
This 481-nucleotide ribosomal RNA is filed under the name uncultured bacterium. RNAcentral describes it as "bacterial SSU rRNA". It matches the Rfam family "Bacterial small subunit ribosomal RNA", at positions 21 to 518 of the family's 1533-position model. The record is from RNAcentral.